This 482-nucleotide ribosomal RNA is filed under the name uncultured bacterium. RNAcentral describes it as "SSU rRNA". It matches the Rfam family "Bacterial small subunit ribosomal RNA", at positions 26 to 523 of the family's 1533-position model. The record is from RNAcentral.
AGGACGAACGCUGGCGGCGUGCUUAACACAUGCAAGUCGAGCGAGGCCCUCUCUUCGGAGAGGUGCCCUAGCGGCGAACGGGUGAGUAACACGUGGGCAACCUGCCCCUAGCACUGGGAUAAGCCCGGGAAACCGGGUCUAAUACCGGAUAUGACCUUCAAGGGCAUCCUCGAAGGUGUAAAGGAUUCUGGCUAGGGAUGGGCCCGCGGCCUAUCAGCUUGUUGGUGGGGUAAUGGCCCACCAAGGCAACGACGGGUAGCCGGCCUGAGAGGGCGACCGGCCACACUGGGACUGAGACACGGCCCAGACUCCUACGGGAGGCAGCAGUGGGGAAUAUUGCACAAUGGGCGAAAGCCUGAUGCAGCGACGCCGCGUGAGGGAUGACGGCCUUCGGGUUGUAAACCUCUUUCAGCUCCGACGAAGCGAAGUGACGGUAGGAGCAGAAGAAGCACCGGCCAACUACGUGCCAGCAGCCGCGGUAA